GCUGGCGGCGUGCCUAAUACAUGCAAGUAGAACGCUGAAGAGAGGAGCUUGCUCUUCUUGGAUGAGUUGCGAACGGGUGAGUAACGCGUAGGUAACCUGCCUUGUAGCGGGGGAUAACUAUUGGAAACGAUAGCUAAUACCGCAUAACAAUGGAUGACACAUGUCAUUUAUUUGAAAGGGGCAAAUGCUCCACUACAAGAUGGACCUGCGUUGUAUUAGCUAGUAGGUGAGGUAACGGCUCACCUAGGCGACGAUACAUAGCCGACCUGAGAGGGUGAUCGGCCACACUGGGACUGAGACACGGCCCAGACUCCUACGGGAGGCAGCAGUAGGGAAUCUUCGGCAAUGGGGGCAACCCUGACCGAGCAACGCCGCGUGAGUGAAGAAGGUUUUCGGAUCGUAAAGCUCUGUUGUAAGUCAAGAACGAGUGUGAGAGUGGAAAGUUCACACUGUGACGGUAGCUUACCAGAAAGGGACGGCUAACUACGUGCCAGCAGCCGCGGUAAUACGUAGGUCCCGAGCGUUGUCCGGAUUUAUUGGGCGUAAAGCGAGCGCAGGCGGUUUGAUAAGUCUGAAGUUAAAGGCUGUGGCUCAACCAUAGUUCGCUUUGGAAACUGUCAAACUUGAGUGCAGAAGGGGAGAGUGGAAUUCCAUGUGUAGCGGUGAAAUGCGUAGAUAUAUGGAGGAACACCGGUGGCGAAAGCGGCUCUCUGGUCUGUAACUGACGCUGAGGCUCGAAAGCGUGGGGAGCGAACAGGAUUAGAUACCCUGGUAGUCCACGCCGUAAACGAUGAGUGCUAGGUGUUGGAUCCUUUCCGGGAUUCAGUGCCGCAGCUAACGCAUUAAGCACUCCGCCUGGGGAGUACGACCGCAAGGUUGAAACUCAAAGGAAUUGACGGGGGCCCGCACAAGCGGUGGAGCAUGUGGUUUAAUUCGAAGCAACGCGAAGAACCUUACCAGGUCUUGACAUCCCGAUGCUAUUUCUAGAGAUAGAAAGUUACUUCGGUACAUCGGUGACAGGUGGUGCAUGGUUGUCGUCAGCUCGUGUCGUGAGAUGUUGGGUUAAGUCCCGCAACGAGCGCAACCCCUAUUGUUAGUUGCCAUCAUUCAGUUGGGCACUCUAGCGAGACUGCCGGUAAUAAACCGGAGGAAGGUGGGGAUGACGUCAAAUCAUCAUGCCCCUUAUGACCUGGGCUACACACGUGCUACAAUGGUUGGUACAACGAGUUGCGAGUCGGUGACGGCAAGCUAAUCUCUUAAAGCCAAUCUCAGUUCGGAUUGUAGGCUGCAACUCGCCUACAUGAAGUCGGAAUCGCUAGUAAUCGCGGAUCAGCACGCCGCGGUGAAUACGUUCCCGGGCCUUGUACACACCGCCCGUCACACCACGAGAGUUUGUAACACCCGAAGUCGGUGAGGUAACCUUUUGGAGCCAGCCGCCUAAGGUGGGAU
This 1449-nucleotide ribosomal RNA is filed under the name uncultured organism. RNAcentral's name for it is "16S ribosomal RNA". It matches the Rfam family "Bacterial small subunit ribosomal RNA". The record is from RNAcentral.